GAUGAACGCUGGCGGCGUGCCUAAUACAUGCAAGUCGAGCGAACAGACGAGGAGCUUGCUCCUCUGACGUUAGCGGCGGACGGGUGAGUAACACAUGGAUAACCUACCUAUAAGACUGGGAUAACUUCGGGAAACCGGAGCUAAUACCGGAUAAUAUAUUGAACCGCAUGGUUCAAUAGUGAAAGACGGUUUUGCUGUCACUUAUAGAUGGAUCCGCGCCGCAUUAGCUAGUUGGUAAGGUAACGGCUUACCAAGGCAACGACGCGUAGCCGACCUGAGAGGGUGAUCGGCCACACUGGAACUGAGACACGGUCCAGACUCCUACGGGAGGCAGCAGUAGGGAAUCUUCCGCAAUGGGCGAAAGCUUGACGGAGCAACGCCGCGUGAGUGAUGAAGGUCUUCGGAUCGUAAAACUCUGUUAUUAGGGAAGAACAAAUGUGUAAGUAACUAUGCACGUCUUGACGGUACCUAAUCAGAAAGCCACGGCUAACUACGUG
Molecule: ribosomal RNA, 497 nt
Filed under: uncultured bacterium
Lineage: Bacteria
Description: partial 16S ribosomal RNA
Rfam family: Bacterial small subunit ribosomal RNA
Source: RNAcentral